This is a long non-coding RNA of Rana temporaria (common frog), 271 nucleotides long. RefSeq lists it as uncharacterized. The transcript has 3 exons. Lineage: Eukaryota; Metazoa; Chordata; Amphibia; Anura; Ranidae. The record is from RefSeq and is a predicted model, not a curated record.
UGAUGUAAGACAAAGACAAGGCAUUAUAUAAGGUAAAUACAGGAAGUUCUGAGAGAGAGAGACGAGCGAGGUCGAGAGAGGAGACGUCGCUGCAUUAUACAGAGGAGGAUAAAGGAAGUAGUGAAGAGGAAAUCUGGACAGUUAAAAAACAGACUUCCAAUCCCAUGAUCCAUCUUUAGAAGGACGCGAGGAUCUCUACAAGGACGUCACGAUGGAGAAUCAGCCGCCCCUCACAUCACCGGAUGGAUCCAGUAAUGGGAACCCACCAGAG